This 509-nucleotide ribosomal RNA is filed under the name uncultured bacterium. Its description in RNAcentral is "bacterial SSU rRNA". It matches the Rfam family "Bacterial small subunit ribosomal RNA", at positions 30 to 518 of the family's 1533-position model. The record is from RNAcentral.
CGAACGCUGGCGGCGUGCUUAACACAUGCAAGUCGAACGCGAAAGGGACUUCGGUCCUGAGUAAAGUGGCGCACGGGUGAGUAACGCGUAGAUAACCUGUCUUCAUGUCUGGAAUAAUACGCCGAAAGGGGUACUAAUACCGGAUAUUCUUGCUUUUCAUAAGUUAUGCAAGCAAAGGUGGCCUCUGCAUAUGCUACUGCAUGAAGAGGGGUCUGCGUACCAUUAGCUAGUAGGUGGGGUAAUGGCCUACCUAGGCGACGAUGGUUAGCGGGUCUGAGAGGAUGAUCCGCCACACUGGCACUGGAACACGGGCCAGACUCCUACGGGAGGCAGCAGUGAGGAAUAUUGCGCAAUGGGGGAAACCCUGACGCAGCGACGCCGCGUGAGUGAGGAAAGGCCUUCGGGUCGUAAAGCUCUGUCAAGAGGAAAGAAGUGUACAAUGGCUAAUACCUGUUGUAUUUGACGGUACCUCUAAAGGAAGCACCGGCUAACUCCGUGCCAGCAGCAGC